GGAGAGGAGGAGGAGAUAAGGAGGAGAGGAGAAGAGGAGAGGAGCAGCUCCUGAACAGAGGAGAUGUGAUCUGUCUCCUGCAGCUGUGAGUCUCUCUGCUGCUGAAUGUGAAGCUUUUGUUCCGCUUCCUCCUCUCCUCCUCUCCCUCCUCCUCUCUUUCCUCCUCCUCUCCUCAUGGAGGGCUGCUGUUUCCUGGUAGCAACUCUCUCUCUCGCUCUCUCUCUCUCUCUC
Xyrichtys novacula (pearly razorfish) is the source of this 231-nucleotide non-coding RNA. NCBI's taxonomy places the organism in Eukaryota, Metazoa, Chordata, Actinopteri, Labriformes, Labridae. The record is from the annotation of a GenBank genome assembly.